GCGGAUGUGGCGGAACUGGCAGACGCGCAACGUUGAGGUCGUUGUGGGGUAAUCCCCGUGGAGGUUCAAGUCCUCUCAUCCGCACCA
Molecule: transfer RNA, 87 nt
Filed under: Acidobacteriota bacterium
Lineage: Bacteria; Pseudomonadati; Acidobacteriota
Also listed under: 2 other names
Description: tRNA-Leu
Rfam family: tRNA
About the family: Transfer RNA (tRNA) molecules are approximately 80 nucleotides in length. Their secondary structure includes four short double-helical elements and three loops (D, anti-codon, and T loops).
Source: RNAcentral